RNAcentral lists this ribosomal RNA (462 nucleotides) under uncultured bacterium. RNAcentral's name for it is "bacterial SSU rRNA". It matches the Rfam family "Bacterial small subunit ribosomal RNA", at positions 29 to 494 of the family's 1533-position model. The record is from RNAcentral.
AUUGAACGCUGGCGGCAUGCUUUACACAUGCAAGUCGAACGGUAACAGGCCUUCGGGUGCUGACGAGUGGCGAACGGGUGAGUAAUGCAUCGGAACGUGCCCAAUCGUGGGGGAUAACGUAGCGAAAGUUACGCUAAUACCGCAUAAGCCCUGAGGGGGAAAGUGGGGGACCGCAAGGCCUCACGCGAAUGGAGCGGCCGAUGUCAGAUUAGCUAGUUGGUGGGGUAAAGGCCCACCAAGGCGACGAUCUGUAGCGGGUCUGAGAGGAUGAUCCGCCACACUGGGACUGAGACACGGCCCAGACUCCUACGGGAGGCAGCAGUGGGGAAUUUUGGACAAUGGGCGCAAGCCUGAUCCAGCCAUGCCGCGUGCGGGACGAAGGGCCUUCGGGUUCGUAAACCGCGUUUCAGCCGGAAAGAAAGUACGACCGUUUUUAAUUACUAGACGGUGGAGUGACGGUAC